This 1309-nucleotide long non-coding RNA is filed under the name Equus asinus (donkey). RNAcentral describes it as "lncRNA (ENSEASG00005035189.1)". The record is from RNAcentral. Lineage: Eukaryota; Metazoa; Chordata; Mammalia; Perissodactyla; Equidae.
CUACACGAAGGUGUGAACACCAGGUGGUGAGAUUGGUGGGAGCCAUCUUGGAGCUGACUUAUGGCUACCACAAGCAUCAUCUUUAUUUUACAGACAUACAAGAAUGGCUAAAAUUGCAAGAAAAGAAACCUGUCAAUACCAAACGUGGCAAUGCUUGGAGCAGCUGGAACUCUCCUACACUGAAGGUUGAAUAAACGUGAUACCAGGUGGAAGCUCAGAUCUACACGAGGAAUGAAGAAUGCCGGAAAUCAUAAAUAUAUGCUGAACUGCCAGAACCCAUGGACAUUUAGGACUCGAGUAAAGCACAGGACAAUAAGAGCAACCAAGUACGGCCUCGUCCAAGUACAGCUUUGCAGGAAGAUUAGCCCUGAGCUAACAUCUGCUGCCAAUCCUCUUCUCUGAAGAAGACUGGCCCUGAGGUUUUCUGCCCUCUUUUCUGGAAGGUGCACAAUGCUCGGCUCUGUGGUUAUUUUCGCCUAACAGCUGUGUUUCCGGUGAGCAGCUGGGAGAUGCUUCUGACUCAGCAGAACUGGAGCAGUAACCGUCAAGAAGCCGCUCAAGCGAGGCUAGAAAUCAAGAAGCAGUUUCCCCCCCAGUCCCCGUCCUUUCACUUCCCCACCCGUGGGCACCUUUUGAAAGUCUCACAGAGCACUUCUGAAAAACCGCUUGGACCCGCGUGCUCGAGGCCUGGCUGGAGGUGGGCCCGCAGCUAGGCUUUCCGAAAACAGAUGGAUUCCGGAAAGGACUGUGCCAAACCCGCCGGCUUUGUUUGGAAGGCCCCUCCCAGGAGGCCCCCCCUUCCCCGCGCGGCUUGUAUCUUACAAGUUUCCCACAGGUCUGAGCAGUGAAAGCAGAGGCGGUCGGGACUUCUGUGGUUUUCCAGGGUGGGGCCCAAGUUGCCUUCCCCAGGCCGGGGUGGCUUAGGUUCUGCAGCUCGCCUGUUUUUCAGAGGUGAUGAUUUCGCCCUGGGUCUGGGAGGCGGCUCCAAAUUUCUACCCACUGGCCCUGGAUUCCAGCCCUGACCUCGAGGGGGGCGCUAGAAGUCCUGCCCGCAGCGGGAAGGGAGCAAACCAGAGAGGACCCGGCGUCCUGGAGAGCUGGCCUCUGUGCAUGCUGGUGCCUGCAAAGGGCUCACGGGAGAGGGAGACAGCUGCACCCGGAGCGCCUUGCUGCUGUUCCGAGAAAGAAAGGAACAAAUAAAUUUAGCUCCAACCUACGCAUCCUUCACAGCUGCUUAUUGACCAAACAGAAAGGGGCCUCUCUUUCAACCCUGGCUUCUCAGCUCUGUGCCCAAGGAGGUCUGCCACGG